RNAcentral lists this ribosomal RNA (253 nucleotides) under uncultured bacterium. RNAcentral describes it as "partial 16S ribosomal RNA". It matches the Rfam family "Bacterial small subunit ribosomal RNA", at positions 524 to 776 of the family's 1533-position model. The record is from RNAcentral.
UACGUAGGGGGCUAGCGUUGUCCGGAAUCAUUGGGCGUAAAGCGCGUGUAGGCGGUUCGGUAAGUCCGCUGUGAAAGUCGGGGGCUCAACCCUCGAAAGCCGGUGGAUACUGUCGGACUAGAGUACGGAAGAGGCGAGUGGAAUUCCUGGUGUAGCGGUGAAAUGCGCAGAUAUCGGGAGGAACACCAGUGGCGAAGGCGGCUUCCUGGCCUGUUCUUGACGCUGAGGCGCGAAAGCUAGGGGAGCAAACGGG